Molecule: ribosomal RNA, 253 nt
Filed under: uncultured bacterium
Lineage: Bacteria
Description: partial 16S ribosomal RNA
Rfam family: Bacterial small subunit ribosomal RNA
Source: RNAcentral
UACGGAGGGUGCAAGCGUUGUCCGGAUUUAUUGGGUUUAAAGGGUGCGUAGGUGGUUUAUUAAGUCAGUGGUGAAAGACGAUCGCUCAACGAUUGCAGUGCCAUUGAUACUGGUAGACUUGAGUUACAUUAAGGUAGGCGGAAUUGAUAGUGUAGCGGUGAAAUGCAUAGAUAUUAUCAAGAACUCCGAUUGCGUAGGCAGCUUACUAGGUGUAAACUGACACUGAGGCACGAAAGUGUGGGUAUCAAACAGG